Molecule: ribosomal RNA, 595 nt
Filed under: uncultured Alphaproteobacteria bacterium
Lineage: Bacteria; Pseudomonadati; Pseudomonadota; Alphaproteobacteria
Description: bacterial SSU rRNA
Rfam family: Bacterial small subunit ribosomal RNA
Source: RNAcentral
UGCAGUCGANGAGUACAUUUUACGAGUGGCGGACGGGUGAGUAACGCGUGGGAACCUACCUUGAGGUAAAGAAUAACUACAGGAAACUGUAGCUAAUACUUUAUGUGCCCUACGGGGGAAAAAUUUAUUGCCUUUUGAGGGGCCCGCGUCAGAUUAGCUUGUUGGUAAGGUAAUGGCUUACCAAGGCUAUGAUCUGUAGCUGGUUUGAGAGGAUGAUCAGCCACAUUGGGACUGAGACACGGCCCAGACUCCUACGGGAGGCAGCAGUGGGGAAUCUUGGACAAUGGGGGAAACCCUGAUCCAGCAAUUCCGCGUGAAUGAUGAAGGCCUUAGGGUUGUAAAGUUCUUUUAGUAAGGAAGAUGAUGACGGUACUUACAGAAAAAGCUCCGGCUAACUCCGUGCCAGCAGCCGCGGUAAUACGGGGGGGGCAAGCGUUGUUCGGAAUUACUGGGCGUAAAGAGCGAGCAGGUGGUUCAUUAAGUCAAUUGUGAAAGCUCAAGGCUUAACCUUGAAAUUGCUUUUGAUACUGAUGAACUAGAGUUUGGGAGAGGAUAGUGGAAUUCUAAGUGUAGAAGUGAAAUUCGUAGAUAUUUA